This 473-nucleotide ribosomal RNA is filed under the name Enterococcus aquimarinus. Its description in RNAcentral is "bacterial SSU rRNA". It matches the Rfam family "Bacterial small subunit ribosomal RNA", at positions 21 to 468 of the family's 1533-position model. Lineage: Bacteria; Bacillati; Bacillota; Bacilli; Lactobacillales; Enterococcaceae. The record is from RNAcentral.
GGCUCAGGACGAACGCUGGCGGCGUGCCUAAUACAUGCAAGUCGAACGCUUCUUUUUCAUCGAACUUCGGUUCACCGAAAAAGAAGAGUGGCGAACGGGUGAGUAACACGUGGGUAACCUACCCAUCAGCGGGGGAUAACACUUGGAAACAGGUGCUAAUACCGCAUAAUCUUUUUNUCCGCCUGGAGAAAGAGUGAAAGGCGCUUUUGCGUCACUGAUGGAUGGACCCGCGCUGCAUUAGCUAGUUGGUGAGGUAACGGCUCACCAAGGCCACGAUGCAUAGCCGACCUGAGAGGGUGAUCGGCCACACUGGGACUGAGACACGGCCCAGACUCCUACGGGAGGCAGCAGUAGGGAAUUUUCGGCAAUGGACGAAAGUCUGACCGAGCAACGCCGCGUGAGUGAAGAAGGUUUUCGGAUCGUAAAACUCUGUUGUUAGAGAAGAAUAAGGAUGAGAGUAAAAAGUUCAUCCC